This is a long non-coding RNA of Cyanistes caeruleus (blue tit), 1891 nucleotides long. RefSeq lists it as uncharacterized. NCBI's taxonomy places the organism in Eukaryota, Metazoa, Chordata, Aves, Passeriformes, Paridae. The record is from RefSeq and is a predicted model, not a curated record.
GCCUGCUUUGGGGAGGGUGUCCUUGUGGGUGCUGACAGGGACUUUGUUGGGCACAUAGGACGUAACAAAAUAGCCGUGUUCUGCACCUGACUUUUCAUGUCUGGACAGUGCCUGAGCACUGCCUAGGCUUGAGGAGUGGAGAAAUGGAAGUCUGACUCUAGUGUGCCCCCACUGAAGAGGGAAGGAUUUGGUUUUAGAUCAGCAGUGUUAAAGUGAGACGUGUGUCUUUACAUCCCUAGAACAAUGGGGCAAGCCCUGUGUAUUGUGGGACCUCUCCUAUAUACCUUGGAAGAGUUACUUCAUCCCCUAAUCCAUUUUGGGUUCUGCCCAAGUUGUUCUGUCCUUCUUGUCUUGCAAUUCAUUGUAUUUUGCUUUUCCCCCUUCUGUUGCAUCCUUAUUGUUUUGUGCUCCUGGGUCUUCUUUUUUGCUGUGACCAAAACCCAUGACCAUGCUUCAAUUCGUGGUUCUCCAUCUCUGGAUUUAUGUGAAUUGGUGCCUGUGUUGGUGAUGGCCUAGUAAGUGCGUUCCAGAGGUUAAGAAAGCGGGGACCCAUCUUGUUGAUUUCCCAUGUGGGUCACCGGUAGCUGUAACCUCCCUGGACAAGACCUUGCUUAUGCAAUGAGGUGUAACCUCCAACCAUGUCUGUACUUUGUGUGGAGCAUAGUGGGUGGUUGCAAAGCUGUUUGAAGUCAUUAAUUUGGGGAACUAACUCUUUUUUUCACUGUAUGUGAAAGUUUCAGAAAGCAAAGAAACUGUCUAACACAUAAAAAUUCAAAACUAGCACUAUAGAUUGGCGAGAAAUCAUACAUAUCACAGCUUUCAAGAGGUGAAGUUUUCUUUGGAAAAAGAGAACCAACACUAAGCUCUGCUUUUUUGUUUUUUAAUUUUUCUUUUUUUUAUAUCUCUUUCCAUGUUUGUGCACAAUGUGUAUUAUUUAGUGGAUUUUGUAGUCAAAACAUUAGAUAUUGACCUCAUUAGUCUGCAGGUUUCUCCAGAUUUGUAUUGUCAUCUGUUGUUUUAUUUUCUUUUUCUAUUCCCUAUUUAUGGUUCACAUGAAAAACCUGUCACUAGGGAGUUUAGAUUGUGGUUUUUAUUAUCUGGAGAUUGUCAGUGAUGGUGCACGGGAAGCAUAAUGGACCUUGAAUUUUGUAAACACAGGUAAUUUAGCAGGAAUAUUGACAGUGAAUUCUUGUUUUGACUUGUAAGGGAUAGGUUAUGAAGUUCAUCAUUGCAGUAUCCAAAGCUUUCUCCAAAAUGGGGUAAUUUUUCAUCUAAGAAGCACUUUGAAGUGCACUCUGCAUAUUUUUUUAAAGUAUCUCUUAACAAGAGCAAUCUACAGCUGGGAUGAUGUUUCACUGCUUUUUUAACAGAUCCUCUAAGCAAAACCGGCGUACUGUAUUUGAGCUGAGUCCCGUUUUUCUUGGAAGCAUUAGAGUGUCCUUUUUUCAGUGCGAAAGAGAAACCAUUACUUUCUAGAGGAAAAUCUGGGAAGCGACAUCAUUGCUGUAGUUGCUGAGCCAGCCAUUGCCAUAGUUUCUCUUUUCCUGCUGGCUAGUGAGUCUCUUCCAGAUGGGUCUGCAGCUCGAGAAAGAUGGAAGUGCUUAGGCAACUGGGUCUGGAGAAACCAAAAUGGUGUGGGAGAACUUUUAAAACAUUUUAGACAGAAAAUGAAUUAGUUCCCUUCUUCAGUAGUAGUCACCAAAUGCUCUUUUAUAUGUGGUAUUGCCUGUUUCUUUUUGUUGGCUUCAAAUCACUGUAUGUUAAUAAUAAUUUGUAUAAUAAUUAAUAAUAAUUUCUGCCCUAAGACAAUAGCUUGAGAUUAACUGUAGCAAAGAUUGCUGCAGCUUUUAAUGGAAUUAUUAAUAAACUGCUCAGUGACUAAAUACUGUGA